UACGUAGGGGGCUAGCGUUAUCCGGAAUUACUGGGCGUAAAGGGUGCGUAGGUGGUUUCUUAAGUCAGAGGUGAAAGGCUACGGCUCAACCGUAGUAAGCCUUUGAAACUGGGAAACUUGAGUGCAGGAGAGGAGAGUGGAAUUCCUAGUGUAGCGGUGAAAUGCGUAGAUAUUAGGAGGAACACCAGUUGCGAAGGCGGCUCUCUGGACUGUAACUGACACUGAGGCACGAAAGCGUGGGGAGCAAACAGGAUUAGAAACCCCGGUAGUCC
This 272-nucleotide ribosomal RNA is filed under the name uncultured Clostridium sp. RNAcentral's name for it is "partial 16S ribosomal RNA". It matches the Rfam family "Bacterial small subunit ribosomal RNA", at positions 524 to 796 of the family's 1533-position model. Lineage: Bacteria; Bacillati; Bacillota; Clostridia; Eubacteriales; Clostridiaceae. The record is from RNAcentral.